RNAcentral lists this ribosomal RNA (497 nucleotides) under uncultured bacterium. RNAcentral describes it as "partial 16S ribosomal RNA". It matches the Rfam family "Bacterial small subunit ribosomal RNA", at positions 28 to 507 of the family's 1533-position model. The record is from RNAcentral.
GAUGAACGCUGGCGGCGUGCCUAAUACAUGCAAGUCGAGCGAACGGACGAGAAGCUUGCUUCUCUGAUGUUAGCGGCGGACGGGUGAGUAACACGUGGAUAACCUACCUAUAAGACUGGGAUCACUUCGGGAAACCGGAUCCAAUACCGGAUAAUAUUUUGAAACGCAUGGUUCAAAAGUGAAAGACGGUCUUGCUGUCACUUAUAGAUGGUUCCGCGCUGCAUUAGCUAGUUGGUAAGGUAACGGCUUACCAAGGCAACGAUGCAUAGCUGACCUGAGAGGAUGAUCGGUCACACUGGAACUGAGACACGGUCCAGACUCCUACGGGAGGCAGCAGUAGGGAAUCUUCCGCAAUGGGCGAAAGCCUGACGGAGCAACGCCGCGUGAGUGAAGAAGGUCUUCGGAUCGUAAAACUCUGUUAGUAGGGAAGAACAGAUGUGUAAGUAACUGUGCACAUCUUGACGUUACCUAAUCAGAAAGCCACGGCUAACUACGUG